Molecule: long non-coding RNA, 204 nt
Filed under: Gossypium barbadense (sea-island cotton)
Lineage: Eukaryota; Viridiplantae; Streptophyta; Magnoliopsida; Malvales; Malvaceae
Description: long non-coding RNA (GBAR_LNC002551)
Source: RNAcentral
CGUCAGUGAGCUGGACUUGCUCUACAGCAGCCCAGUUGAUGCAGCGACCUGUGGUGAUAGGUCGUACGCGUAAUAUCUGAAAUAGUUCCUCCUCCGAAGCUUGUGGAAAGUCAAGGAACGAGUGCCGAACUUCGGCUGUAGCACGUACGGAGGAAGAACCCGGUCCCUUAUGUCUCUUUGAGGGUGGGACCGCGGCCUUCUUUC